This is a long non-coding RNA of Ornithorhynchus anatinus (platypus), 454 nucleotides long. RefSeq lists it as uncharacterized. The record is from RefSeq and is a predicted model, not a curated record. The transcript has 2 exons. Lineage: Eukaryota; Metazoa; Chordata; Mammalia; Monotremata; Ornithorhynchidae.
CUUUGUGUCUGUGUGCGCACAGUCAUAACAGUAGCCUUUCUGUCAGCAAUUAACCCACAGAACAGACACACACACACGCACUUACGUGCCCAGCGAUAGCGAAAGAGACACAAAGGCAAAGACUGAGAUGGUAGAGAGCCAAGAAAAUGGGUCAACGUUGGAGCCCAGACCUAAGCCCUUUCAGAAGCACCCACCGGUCCCAAAGGAAAAGAGAAUCCACUUACUUGCCCCCCAUUAACAGGUCCCAGUGGCCUCUUGUGCUCCUGGCUGUGGGAGCCCGUGGCAGGGCUUCAAGACUACCCCACCAAGCUCCAAGACUUUCUGCCCACCACCAUAGUCUCAUAAAAUAAUAAUGAAACUUUUUGUAAAAACGAAGUCCAAGAUCAUACCCUGCUGUUAUGUGGCCAGUUGUUAACUGACCUACUCCUAUUUAUUAAAACACCAUCGCCUUGGG